GCCCAUGUAGCUCAGCAGGUAGAGCGCCGCCAUGGUAAGGCGGAGGUCAUCGGUUCAAAUCCGAUCGUGGGCUCCA
This 76-nucleotide transfer RNA is filed under the name Clostridiales bacterium. RNAcentral describes it as "tRNA-Thr". It matches the Rfam family "tRNA". From Rfam's summary of the family: Transfer RNA (tRNA) molecules are approximately 80 nucleotides in length. Their secondary structure includes four short double-helical elements and three loops (D, anti-codon, and T loops). RNAcentral also lists the same sequence under 1 other name. Lineage: Bacteria; Bacillati; Bacillota; Clostridia; Eubacteriales. The record is from RNAcentral.